CCUACGGGUGGCAGCAGUCGAGAAUCAUUCACAAUGGGGGAAACCCUGAUGGUGCGACGCCGCGUGGGGGAAUGAAGGUCUUCGGAUUGUAAACCCCUGUCAUGUGGGAGCAAAUUAAAAAGAUCGUACCACAAGAGGCAGAGACGGCUAACUCUGUGCCAGCAGCCGCGGUAAUACAGAGGUCUCAAGCGUUGUUCGGAAUCACUGGGCGUAAGGCGUGCGUAGGCUGUUUCGUAAGUCGUGUGUGAAAGGCGCGGGCUCAACCCGCGGACGGCACAUGAUACUGCGAGACUAGAGUAAUGGAGGGGGAACCGGAAUUCUCGGUGUAGCAGUGAAAUGCGUAGAUAUCGAGAGGAACACUCGUGGCGAAGGCGGGUUCCUGGACAUUAACUGACGCUGAGGCACGAAGGCCAGGGGAGCGAAAGGGAUUAGAUACCCCUGUAGUC
RNAcentral lists this ribosomal RNA (446 nucleotides) under uncultured bacterium. RNAcentral describes it as "partial 16S ribosomal RNA". It matches the Rfam family "Bacterial small subunit ribosomal RNA", at positions 338 to 795 of the family's 1533-position model. The record is from RNAcentral.